This 447-nucleotide ribosomal RNA is filed under the name uncultured bacterium. Its description in RNAcentral is "bacterial SSU rRNA". It matches the Rfam family "Bacterial small subunit ribosomal RNA", at positions 355 to 825 of the family's 1533-position model. The record is from RNAcentral.
UCGGGAAUUUUGGGCAAUGGGGGAAACCCUGACCCAGCAACGCCGCGUGAAGGAUGAAGUAUUUCGGUAUGUAAACUUCGAAAGAAUAGGAAGAAUAAAUGACGGUACUAUUUAUAAGGUCCGGCUAACUACGUGCCAGCAGCCGCGGUAAUACGUAGGGACCAAGCGUUGUUCGGAUUUACUGGGCGUAAAGGGCGCGUAGGCGGCAUGACAAGUCACUUGUGAAAUCUCUGGGCUUAACCCAGAACGGCCAAGUGAUACUGUCGCGCUAGAGUGCAGAAGGGGCAAUCGGAAUUCUUGGUGUAGCGGUGAAAUGCGUAGAUAUCAAGAGGAACACCUGAGGUGAAGACGGGUUGCUGGGCUGACACUGACGCUGAGGCGCGAAAGCCAGGGGAGCAAACAGGAUUAGAUACCCAGGUAGUCCCUGAGCGGGCUGGCAAGGCGCAU